This is a long non-coding RNA of Camelus dromedarius (Arabian camel), 1429 nucleotides long. RefSeq lists it as uncharacterized. NCBI's taxonomy places the organism in Eukaryota, Metazoa, Chordata, Mammalia, Artiodactyla, Camelidae. The record is from RefSeq and is a predicted model, not a curated record. The transcript has 3 exons.
CCUCCCGUACCGGACCCCUGCGAAGAGCGGGCAGCAGGAGUGUACAAAGAAUUUUACUAAACAGGAAGGAGCAGAUGGGAGAGCGAGCAGGACGUCCCUUCACUCCGCGCGAGAAAACUGAUGCUUGGAGAGGUGGCUACUUGCCUAGGAUCACACAAUGACAAUUAGCACGUGUAUGGAACUUGCUGUGUGCCUGCACCAUGACAGUGAAACUCAUCUAAUCCUUACAACAACCAGAUGGAGUAGUUAAUUCCAUUUUACAGGAGGGAAGAACCAAGGCUCAGCAUUAAGUUUGCCCACGCCCCGCCGUGGGCUUCCUGGGCGCACAGCCAUUCAGCCGACCACCCAGCAUGCACUGGACCCCAGCUAUGUCCUAGGAGAAGGCACUUCUGCCCUGCCCCUCAGCAGCCCACAGCCCAGUGAGAGACAUGCACACAUACGCUGAUGAGACAUAAUAGAGGUGAGGAGAGGAGGGAGAGUCAUGUAAGGGCAUGGGAGGUAGGGGAAGGUUUCCCAGGCGUGGAACUUUCUGGAUGAAUAGCAGAGGAAACAGCAGGAGAAAAAGCACCGAGACAAGAAACCCGUAAAGGUGGCCGGAAUUUCCUGAUUCACCUCUCAAGUCCCUACCUCUUGGCCAAGCCCUCAAAACAUCUCCUGGAAGUCACUUCAAGCAAAAUUCAUUCCAACCACUAUUUCCCUUUUCCUCUAACACACCCUUGAGUGCAGCGGUGUUUUCUGUGUGUGUGUGUGUGUGUGCGCACGCGUGUGCAAAUGUAGCUCCCCUCUGUGUAUCUCCCAAAGUCCCAUAUAAUGCUUCUGUUUCCUAAGAAAAAAAUGUUAAUUGUUGGAAAUGUGUUUUAAACUGUAAAAUUACAUUAAGUAAGCUCUGUAAACUGUGAAACAUAAGUUCCAAUGCUGUUGGUUCUGGGACCCUGUAAAAAUCCACGUCUUCGCCUUUAAGGUAGAAGUAACUAUAAAUGCAAAGAAAGGCUAUGAGCGCCCCCUUGUGGAGAGACCUACCGCUGCCGGGCCUGGGCCCCGCCCCCUGGCCAGCUCUGUCCCUUCAGUGAGUGACCCCACCCAGGUUGAAAGCCUGGAAAUGGCUUUUGACUUUGUGCCUCCUUCCUUCCCUCCCCAAGCUGGCUCUGAGACCUGCUGCACCUUUCCCCUUCCUCCCUCCAUCUCAGGCCAACUUCCUGCCACGCCCCACUCCAGCCAGGCUCCCUAACCUCUGACCCACCUUGGCCUCCCUGCCUCCAAGCUGCUCCAGUCCACCCUGAAACCCUGCAACUGAGGGGCAGUUCAGGGCCCUCCUGCAGGGAUUUUUCAGACUGUUCUGACCAUGCCCGCUUCAGCCCAGUCCUCAACCCCAGCCUCUGUCUUCCACACCCCACAAAUGCCAGAAUCCUGGCCCAAGAGAACUCCUUUU